This 238-nucleotide ribosomal RNA is filed under the name uncultured bacterium. Its description in RNAcentral is "partial 16S ribosomal RNA". It matches the Rfam family "Bacterial small subunit ribosomal RNA", at positions 100 to 334 of the family's 1533-position model. The record is from RNAcentral.
CCGGCACGGGUGAGUAACGCGUAUGCAACUUACCUAUCAGGAGGGGGAUAACCGGCGAAAGUCGGACUAAUACCGCAUGAAGCAGGGGCCCCGCAUGGGGAUAUUUGCUAAAGAUUCAUCGCUGAUAGAUAGGCAUGCGUUCCAUUAGGCAGUUGGCGGGGUAACGGCCCACCAAGCCGACGAUGGAUAGGGGUUCUGAGAGGAAGGUCCCCCACAUUGGUACUGAGACACGGACCAA